Molecule: long non-coding RNA, 602 nt
Organism: Aricia agestis (brown argus)
Lineage: Eukaryota; Metazoa; Arthropoda; Insecta; Lepidoptera; Lycaenidae
Exons: 3
Source: RefSeq, a predicted model, not a curated record
UAUCAUGCAUCUACUGAAAAUAUGUCCAGCAGCAGCAGCGGUUGGCCAUCAUAAUAUCUGUGUUGUAUCAUGUGGAUUAUCCAUAGUAAUAGCAAAUCGAUGCUGAAUUUUAAUUGAAGGGACAAAUGAAGAACAACAAAGAGUGGCUUCUAUAGUAUCUUCUUGGAUUCAAGCACGAGAGCUUUGGUCUCAAGAUGAAGAACCAGAAUAGUCCAAGUAAUUGAGGACUUUCAACCUGAAUAUAUGGAAUCAGCUUUAAUGUGUACUGUAUGUGGCCAGUCUGGACACCACAACUUCAGACUUAGAGUGGAAUCCUGAAAAUAUUACUCGUUUCCUGGAGCAACAAGAGAUGUCAUCUAUGAAUGAAGUUUCUGGAGUUUGUUGGAACCAAGCUCGAGACAUAAGGUCAGAUAUUCCAGAAGCUGAUGAAAGAUCCCAACAAAAUAUAGUGUUGUUCAAUAUAAGAAGAGCAGCUGAAACACCAGGACAUUGCGUUUUUCAAGAAUGCAUGAAUCCUGAGCAAAAUGUUGUGCCUCGAGUUGCCUGUGCCUGUGUUGUGUUGUUGUGCUUUAAGCUAAAAAAAGUCCUGCCAUUUAACUGCC